This 408-nucleotide ribosomal RNA is filed under the name uncultured bacterium. Its description in RNAcentral is "partial 16S ribosomal RNA". It matches the Rfam family "Bacterial small subunit ribosomal RNA", at positions 29 to 526 of the family's 1533-position model. The record is from RNAcentral.
AGUGAACGCUGGCGGCGUGCCUAAUACAUGCAAGUCGAACGGUGUGGCGCACGGGUGAGUGAUAUAUCGCUGAUCUGCCCCUUGCUGGAGGACAACAGUUUGAAAUGGCUGCUAAUACUCCAUAGCAAGGGAUGAGACUAUAGCGUGUCAGCUAGUCGGUGGGGUAACGGCCUACCGAGGCUAUGACGCGUAACUGGUCUGAGAGGAGGAUCAGUCACAUUGGACCGGAGACACGGUCCAAACUCCUACGGGAGGCAGCAGUAGGGAAUAUCGCGCAAUGGGGGAAACCCUGACGCAGCAACGCCGCGUGGAGGAUGACACGUUUCGGAGCGUAAACUACUUUUGUUAGGGAAGCGGUACCUAACGAAUAAGCACCGGCUAACUCCGUGCCAGCAGCCGCGGUAAUAC